RNAcentral lists this small RNA (140 nucleotides) under Listeria monocytogenes serotype 4b str. LL195. Its description in RNAcentral is "PyrR binding site". Lineage: Bacteria; Bacillati; Bacillota; Bacilli; Caryophanales; Listeriaceae. The record is from RNAcentral.
GCAACCUUUCAAUUCGUUGAAAAGGUGCUAAAUCCUGCGAAGUGUGAUGCUUCGAGAGAUAAGAGAGACUUAAAAAGUUUCACUGUAUUUGUGUAUCGAAACUUCCAAACCUCUCUAGUUCUCUAGGGAGGUUUUUUAUU